ACUACGGGAGGCAGCAGUGGGGAAUAUUGCACAAUGGGGGAAACCCUGAUGCAGCGACGCCGCGUGAGUGAAGAAGUAUUUCGGUAUGUAAAGCUCUAUCAGCAGGGAAGAAGAAAGACGGUACCUGACUAAGAAGCCCCGGCUAACUACGUGCCAGCAGCCGCGGUAAUACGUAGGGGGCAAGCGUUAUCCGGAUUUACUGGGUGUAAAGGGAGCGUAGACGGCUGUGCAAGUCUGAAGUGAAAGCCCAGGGCUCAACCCUGGGACUGCUUUGGAAACUGUGGAGCUAGAGUGCUGGAGAGGUACGUGGAAUUCCUAGUGUAGCGGUGAAAUGCGUAGAUAUUAGGAGGAACACCAGUGGCGAAGGCGGCUUACUGGACAGUAACUGACGUUGAGGCUCGAAAGCGUGGGGAGCAAACAGGAUUAGAUACCCUAGUAGUC
Molecule: ribosomal RNA, 441 nt
Filed under: uncultured bacterium
Lineage: Bacteria
Description: partial 16S ribosomal RNA
Rfam family: Bacterial small subunit ribosomal RNA
Source: RNAcentral